UACGUAGGGGGCGAGCGUUGUCCGGAAUUAUUGGGCGUAAAGAGCGUGUAGGCGGUUCGGUAAGUCUGCCGUGAAAACCUGGGGCUCAACCCUCGAAUGCCGGUGGAUACUGUCGGGCUAGAGUGCGGAAGAGGCGAGUGGAAUUCCUGGUGUAGCGGUGAAAUGCGCAGAUAUCAGGAGGAACACCUAUUGCGAAGGCAGCUCGCUGGGACGUAACUGACGCUGAGACGCGAAAGCGUGGGGAGCAAACAGG
This 253-nucleotide ribosomal RNA is filed under the name uncultured bacterium. RNAcentral's name for it is "partial 16S ribosomal RNA". It matches the Rfam family "Bacterial small subunit ribosomal RNA", at positions 524 to 776 of the family's 1533-position model. The record is from RNAcentral.